Molecule: unclassified non-coding RNA, 364 nt
Filed under: soil metagenome
Description: partial contains 5.8S ribosomal RNA, internal transcribed spacer 2, and large subunit ribosomal RNA
Rfam family: 5.8S ribosomal RNA (bases 1-120)
Source: RNAcentral
GAUGAAGAACGCAGCGAAAUGCGAUAAGUAAUGUGAAUUGCAGAAUUCAGUGAAUCAUCGAAUCUUUGAACGCACAUUGCGCCCGCCAGCAUUCUGGCGGGCAUGCCUGUUCGAGCGUCAUUUCAACCCUCGCAGCCCAUCUGGGCAGCGGUGUUGGGGACCGGCACCACCGGCGAAGCCCUUAGGGGCCCAGCCGGCGCCGCCCCCGAAAUACAGUGGCGGUCUCGCUGCAGCCUCCCUUGCGUAGUAGCACACCUCGCACCGGAGCGCAGCGCGGCCACGCCGUAAAACCCCCGACUUUCUGAGUUUGACCUCGAAUCAGGUAGGAAUACCCGCUGAACUUAAGCAUAUCAUAAGCGGAGGA